Corylus avellana is the source of this 712-nucleotide non-coding RNA. Lineage: Eukaryota; Viridiplantae; Streptophyta; Magnoliopsida; Fagales; Betulaceae. The record is from RefSeq and is a predicted model, not a curated record.
UUAAAAAAAAAAACCCUAGCUUACGCCGCCGCUACCUCUCUCUCGCCGUUCUCGCUGUUCCCUCUCUCUCUCUCUCUCUCCGGCGUCGCCGCUCUCUCUCUCGCUCACUAAGAUCUCACAAAUAUUUUAGGUGCAUAUAUGUAAGCUGCAAAAGGCAUCAAAGAUCUCACAGAUCUGUUCCUUGAAUUUUCAAAAAUCCUAAACCACUUUCACAGAGAACAAGAUUCAAGCACUUGACCUGAGCUUCUCCUUUCUUAGCAUCGACUUCUUCGAGUGCAAUGGGACCUCCUUUGAUCCACCACGAGACUCAUGUUGUUGCUUCAUCUGCUCCUCCUGCGGUUGCCCCAUCACCAAACAUGAACAUUCUUGGACAUGCUUCUGUUGCUCAAUCCAAUUCCAUGGCCUUAACUGAGUGAAGCGACAUCAGCAGGUGCCAAAUGCCAGCUCUACAUGGAGGGAUUGCCUUGAAGUCUUGAAGCUGAUUCUGUCGGAAUCUAAUUUUUUAUAAAUGUGUAUAUAUGUAUUUAUAUAUUGCUUUAUCUUUUUAGUUAUUCUUUAUGUUCCUCUAAAUGGUUGGUCCUGAAUAUUCUCAGGUCCAACUUUUACCAAGUGAUGUUCUCAAAAAUAAUUCCCAAGUUAUUUGGUGGACAUUACUUGUAAUUUCUUUUUGGGAUUUUAUGAAUUAUGGUAAAUAUUAUAUGCUUAAAUGUUU